This 113-nucleotide small RNA is filed under the name Marmota monax (woodchuck). Lineage: Eukaryota; Metazoa; Chordata; Mammalia; Rodentia; Sciuridae. The record is from RNAcentral.
GCAGGGUGUGGUGGUGCACGCCUGUAAUCCUAGCAGCUUGGGAGGCUGAAGCAGGAAAAUCGCAGGUUCAAAGCCAGCCUUAGCAAAAGGAACUUGGUGAGACCCUGUCUCUA